CCUACGGGCGGCAGCAGUGGGGAAUAUUGGGCAAUGGGCGCAAGCCUGACCCAGCAACGCCGCGUGAAGGAAGAAGGCUUUCGGGUUGUAAACCUCUUUUAUCAGGGACGAAGCAAGUGACGGUUCCUGCUGAAUAAGCGACGGCUAACUACGUGCCAGCAGCCGCGGUAAUACGUAGGCGGCAAGCGUGAUCCGGAUUUACUGGGUGUAAAGGGCGUGUAGGCGGGAGUGCAAGUCAGUUGUGAAAACUAUGGGCUCAACCCAUAUACUGUAUUUGAAACUGUACUGCUUGAGUGCUGGAGAGGCAGGCGGAAUUCCGGGUGUAGCGGUGAAAUGCGUAGAUAUACGGAGGAACACCGGUGGCGAAGGCGGAUUGCUGGACAGUAACUGACGCUGAGGCGCGAAAGCGUGGGGAGCAAACAGGAUUAGAUACCCGAGUAGUC
This 443-nucleotide ribosomal RNA is filed under the name uncultured bacterium. Its description in RNAcentral is "partial 16S ribosomal RNA". It matches the Rfam family "Bacterial small subunit ribosomal RNA", at positions 338 to 795 of the family's 1533-position model. The record is from RNAcentral.